UGGACCUGAUAUCAAACAAGACUACCCGC
This 29-nucleotide ribosomal RNA is filed under the name Saprolegnia diclina. RNAcentral's name for it is "partial 28S ribosomal RNA". The record is from RNAcentral. Lineage: Eukaryota; Oomycota; Saprolegniomycetes; Saprolegniales; Saprolegniaceae.